RNAcentral lists this ribosomal RNA (253 nucleotides) under uncultured bacterium. RNAcentral describes it as "partial 16S ribosomal RNA". It matches the Rfam family "Bacterial small subunit ribosomal RNA", at positions 524 to 776 of the family's 1533-position model. The record is from RNAcentral.
UACGAAGGGGGCUAGCGUUGUUCGGAAUUACUGGGCGUAAAGGGCUCGUAGGCGGCCAACUAAGUCAGACGUGAAAUCCCCAGGCUUAACCUGGGAACUGCGUCUGAUACUGGAUGGCUUGAAUUCGGGAGAGGGAUGCAGAAUUCCAGGUGUAGCGGUGAAAUGCGUAGAUAUCUGGAGGAAUACCGGUGGCGAAGGCGGCAUCCUGGACCGACAUUGACGCUGAGGAGCGAAAGCUAGGGGAGCAAACGGG